GACGAACGCUGGCGGCGUGCUUAACACAUGCAAGUCGAACGAGAUCCAAUGUGUAGCAAUACACAGGAAGAUCUAGUGGCGAACGGGUGAGGAACACGUGAGAAACGUACCCCAGACUUUGGGAUAACAGUCCGAAAGGACUGCUAAUACCAAAUAACGUCGGAAGUCCGCAUGGACAUCUGACGAAAGGGAUUCCGGUUUGGGAGCGUCUCGCGGACCUAUCAGCUAGUUGGAGGGGUAACGGCCCACCAAGGCAACGACGGGUAGCUGGUCUGAGAGGAUGGUCAGCCACACUGGGACUGAGACACGGCCCAGACUCCUACGGGAGGCAGCAGUGGGGAAUCUUGCGCAAUGGGCGAAAGCCUGACGCAGCAACGCCGCGUGCGGGAAGAAGGCUUUCGGGCCGUAAACCGCUUUCAGUAGGAACGAAACUGACGGUACCUACAGAAGAAGGAGCGGCCAACUAUGUG
RNAcentral lists this ribosomal RNA (470 nucleotides) under uncultured bacterium. RNAcentral describes it as "partial 16S ribosomal RNA". It matches the Rfam family "Bacterial small subunit ribosomal RNA", at positions 28 to 507 of the family's 1533-position model. The record is from RNAcentral.